AGCUAUCUAUGAGGAAUACAAAGAUGGUCCAUUUACGUUCAAGCAUUGUUGGAAAAUUCUACGUGAUGAACCAAAGUGGCAAGUGCAACUAGAGGAAGGGGCGCAGUCAAAUAAAAGGAAUUUGGAUAUUGAGGGGAGUGUAGGAGAGCUCACUCCCUCUUUGGCACAAUCUGAAGAUCGUCCAAUAGGCAACAAAAAGGCAAAGAAAGAGGCCAAGAAGUGCCUUUCUCAGAUGGAUGAUGUGCUACAGCAGCUUACAAAACUUCAGGGCACAAAUGAAAGUCGAGAAAAGAUGUUGGAAACCCAGAAACACGUUUCAAGCGAGAAGCUUGAAUCAGCUAGACUUAACCACCUUGCAGCUAAAGAAAAUGCUAAGUCAGCUAUGCUGGAGACGUACAGAGCACUCAGUAUGAAAGAUACAAGUGCAAUGGCUGAUGAUGUCAGAGUUGAGCACUUGGCAUUUAUGAGAUGUGUGAGGGAGAGUAUAUUUGGCAAAACUGAAUUAGAUGCAAAUGGCAGCUCUUAAAAAGAAUCGGGUUCCUGAUGGGGGUUCUUCCUGAAGACCUGAAUAUCAUCAACGACUGCUGGUCAUCAAGAGAUAUGGCUAAAUAAAUUGAUAAACGAUGGAUGCUAGAUUUAUUACCAAGUCAUUAGUGUAAUAGCUGCUCAUGGUAGUAGCCUUCUUUUGUUGAUCAAGUUUCAGUUGCACUGCAGACCAUGUUUUAUACAUUAAGCUUUUUAGUUUGUGUGGGUCGUCCUUGGUCUAUCUGAUGAUAUGAACUUGGUUGUAAGAGCCAUUAUAUUUUACCAAGGAACAAUAUCGUUGCUUAUUGUUUCAGUCGACAACCUGUUUCAUUUA
Long non-coding RNA from Panicum virgatum (switchgrass), 859 nucleotides. RefSeq lists it as uncharacterized. The record is from RefSeq and is a predicted model, not a curated record. Lineage: Eukaryota; Viridiplantae; Streptophyta; Magnoliopsida; Poales; Poaceae. The transcript is spliced from 3 exons.